AGUCAAUGCGCGCGUAUCUGUAAAAUGUACGGUUAAAGGGCUAUUUUGCAUUUUUUGCCGAUUCGCACACAUUGGAAUGUGGCUAACUCCUCCUAAGGCUUUCGUCCCACUGACACCAAAUUUGCUCAGGCCAAUCAACACCCCAUGGCCAUUCAAAGUUGUAAAAAUCAUGACGCUGCACCCCACGGUUUACGUUCUAGGGGGCGCCAAAGAUGACCCAAAUAUCCACAUUCUUAAAAGAAUCCACAUCCCCCAACCCCCAUGGCAGGAGAAACAGUCAAGUUUUUCCUGCCCAUCACUCAAUGGCUCAAUCGCAUCACUCUCCCGGCAACACCGUAACGAGGAGCAACCUGCCAUUUGGAUAUAUCCUAGCUGUGUUUGUGCCCUCACUCAUGGUCCAGACUUUUUCAAAUAGGACAUGAAGUUUGUCUGCAGCGAGUGUUUUGGUAGAAACUGCGCCUCCCAUUCAUUAUAAUGGGAAAUGACCACAGACAAGUGCGCACACCAUCUUUGGACCUUGAGUGUGACGCGAUCGGGAGGGGGAGGCGGUCGCGCUGGGGGCGGCGCGACGCGGCUCGGGCCCGACAGUGCCCCACCGGGGUCCUAGUUAUUUUUCUGCCCCUUUGAACUGGAAAAUGGCCAACUUCCCACUGGUGAAAAGUCAUGAAAUUUGGCAGGACGACCGGGCCUGGUGAAAAAUUCGAUAUUCUGAAGUCGCCCAAAAAAUCAAAUGCAAAAUGGCUCCAUAGCGCCCCCUAAGGUGAAAAAUUCACAUGAUUGAGUGUCACGCCUGUACGCUUUGUCAAAAUGACACAAAAUUUGACACACACGUGUAUCUCAAUAAGAUCUACAAAAAAGUCAGUGCGGGCGUAUCUGUCAAAUGUACGGUUAAAGGUUUAUUUCGCAUUUUUUGCCGAUCCGUACACAUUGGAAUUUCGCUAACUCCUCCGAAGGUUUUCGUUCCACCGGCACCACAUUUGCUCAGGCCAAUCUACACCCCAUGGCCAAUAAAAG
Molecule: non-coding RNA, 1014 nt
Organism: Xyrichtys novacula (pearly razorfish)
Lineage: Eukaryota; Metazoa; Chordata; Actinopteri; Labriformes; Labridae
Source: the annotation of a GenBank genome assembly